GACUUGAAAUCGUGAGGGGUCAAGUCCCUCUAUCCCC
Molecule: transfer RNA, 37 nt
Filed under: Amorphophallus pendulus
Lineage: Eukaryota; Viridiplantae; Streptophyta; Magnoliopsida; Alismatales; Araceae
Description: partial tRNA-Leu
Source: RNAcentral